AUGUCACCAAGUGACUCAAAAUGGCCGUUUGUGUCGAAAAGGAGGCAAUACCCAAUAUCAGUUUGUUUUGCAAUGACAAUAAAUAAGAGUCAAGGGCAGUCGCUAAAACAUGUGGGGCUAUAUUUACGAAAGCAGGUCUUCACACAUGGUCAACUCUAUGUAGCGGUAUCAAGAGUCACAAGUAGAGAUGGACUUAAAGUUCUAUUUUCAGAUGAAGAAUCAAGGAAAAUAAUUCGGCAAAAAAUAUUGUGUACAAGGAGAUCCUUUAGUAAAGAGACCUUAGAAUAUUUCUAUUUUACUCUAUGUAACCUUCUUCAAAAGGAAUUCAUAUGGAUUUCAGAUGAAUCAGGUAUUUCUGCGGACACAAAUGACUAUGUUUGA
RNAcentral lists this ribosomal RNA (381 nucleotides) under Triticum aestivum (bread wheat). RNAcentral's name for it is "partial small subunit ribosomal RNA". Lineage: Eukaryota; Viridiplantae; Streptophyta; Magnoliopsida; Poales; Poaceae. The record is from RNAcentral.